This 406-nucleotide ribosomal RNA is filed under the name uncultured bacterium. RNAcentral's name for it is "partial 16S ribosomal RNA". It matches the Rfam family "Bacterial small subunit ribosomal RNA", at positions 30 to 526 of the family's 1533-position model. The record is from RNAcentral.
AUUGAACGCUGGCGGCAGGCCUAACACAUGCAAGUCGAGCGAGCGGCGGACGGGUGAGUAAUGUCUGGGAAACUGCCUGAUGGAGGGGGAUAACUCCUGGAAACGGUAGCUAAUACCGCAUACCAUCAUAUCUUCCCAAAUGGGAUUAGCUAGUAGGUCGGGUAACGGCUCACCUAGGCGACGAGCCCUAGCUGGUCUGAGAGGAUGACCAGCCACAAUGGAACUGAGACACGUUCCAGACUCCUACGGGAGGCAGCAGUGGGGAAUAUUGCACAAUGGGCGCAAGCCGGAUGCAGCCAUGCCGCGUGUGUGAAGAAGGCCUUCGGGUUGUAAAGCACUGUCAGCGGGGAGGCGUUACCCGAAGAAGAAGCACCGGCUAACUCCGUGCCAGCAGCCGCGGUAAUAC